Molecule: ribosomal RNA, 497 nt
Filed under: uncultured bacterium
Lineage: Bacteria
Description: partial 16S ribosomal RNA
Rfam family: Bacterial small subunit ribosomal RNA
Source: RNAcentral
GACGAACGCUGGCGGCGUGCCUAAUACAUGCAAGUUGAGCGCUGAAGGUUGGUACUUGUACCGACUGGAUGAGCAGCGAACGGGUGAGUAACGCGUGGGGAAUCUGCCUUUGAGCGGGGGACAACAUUUGGAAACGAAUGCUAAUACCGCAUAAAAACUUUAAACACAAGUUUUAAGUUUGAAAGAUGCAAUUGCAUCACUCAAAGAUGAUCCCGCGUUGUAUUAGCUAGUUGGUGAGGUAAAGGCUCACCAAGGCGAUGAUACAUAGCCGACCUGAGAGGGUGAUCGGCCAAAUUGGGAAUGAGAAACGGCCCAAACUCCUACGGGAGGCAGCAGUAGGGAAUCUUCGGCAAUGGACGAAAGUCUGACCGAGCAACGCCGCGUGAGUGAAGAAGGUUUUCGGAUCGUAAAACUCUGUUGGUAGAGAAGAAAGUUGGUGAGAGUGGAAAGCUCAUCAAGUGACGGUAACUAAACAGAAAGGGACGGCUAACUACGUG